This 1309-nucleotide long non-coding RNA is filed under the name Takifugu rubripes (torafugu). RNAcentral describes it as "lncRNA (ENSTRUG00000032752.1)". The record is from RNAcentral. Lineage: Eukaryota; Metazoa; Chordata; Actinopteri; Tetraodontiformes; Tetraodontidae.
CAUAAACUAAGUUGAGUCUGUUUAAAAAUGUUCAAAUUAUAUUGUAUAUUUUCAAUGAUCUGCCACCAGAUUGCUAAUAUCCUCAUCCUUUUUUAAUGAUCCUUUUUUAGAUCUGCAGAUGUGCUUAAAAGAAGCAAAGAAUAGAAUAAUCCAUCUACCAAGAGUUUGUGUAAGGUUACGCCGAGACAAAGCCAUUAAACUGCAACACCGAGACAAUAACAACCACAGACACGUGGACUAAACUCUUAAUCUGAGCCCACAUGGAGCAAACAGACUCCCCCCUACCAAAACACCCACCCACCCGCACGGCAUCCCGAUCCACUCUAGUUGUAUGAUGAGCUAUUGUUCAGCUUCUGUGAUGGUGGAGGGGGGGAAUAGCCUCACUGUCUCUAAAAGAAUGCCGCCAAAGAAGUGACCUGAGUAACAAAGGAGGUACUUACGUUGAAGAGCCUCACAUGGUCCUCCCACAGAGAGAAAGAGCGUGGUUAUUCCAGUCCGGAGGACAAAAAACAGCAGAACAACAGCAACCUCAGAGAGGACGAAGAGAGAGGGUAGAUGGAGAAGAAAGGUUUUCCCUUCGCUACACUAAACCCAAGUGGGCCACAGUAGCCGAGUGAUGACACAUGCGCAUGAAGCACGCACCUCACAGUAUCCUUCAGGGACAAAUUAUCAUCGCAAAGGACGAAUGAGAGGAAUUCCCAGAGGUGCCAGCGACUCCGUGGCCUGAAGCUUUUUCAGCAUGGUUGACUUACUUGCUCUUGCUCAUGUUUUACACUGUAUAUAGUCUGUAUAUAAUGACCUUUACUAGUGCAAUUACAAGCUCACAACACCAUCAUGCAGCACCAAUGCACAAUGUCUCUCAUAUUUUGAACAUGUACUAAUGGCAUGAUAAAUAAAACUGCUGUUUUUAAAUCCUAAAUGCAACUUUAAAGCAGCACAGUUGGGAUUUUUCAACUGAAUUGGAUUACAAACACAAAGAAAUCACAUAGAAAUCUAAACAUAACCCAAGUGUCAAAGUGCAACCAUGUGUACAUGUAAACUCAGUGGUUCUGCAUUAGAAUUUAUUGUGUGGGUGUGGGUUUGUCUUACUGUAAUACAUUUCAGAUCAGUGAGGUGAUGGUGUGGCGGCUCCUCUUUAAUAAAAUGGAGGUUUCAUGUGCAAAAUGCGAUUGCGUAAGUUUCUGACCUCUCUGUAGGCACAGCGUUUUGGUAUCAUUGGAUCCUCCAGGGGUCCUGGUGCAGCCUAAACCUGAUGUCACGACACAAACUGGCCUUGUUAUUCCUUAUGCAUCUGCCUACAAGACCUCUG